This 93-nucleotide transfer RNA is filed under the name Bauldia sp. RNAcentral's name for it is "tRNA-Ser". It matches the Rfam family "tRNA". Rfam says of the family: Transfer RNA (tRNA) molecules are approximately 80 nucleotides in length. The record is from RNAcentral. Lineage: Bacteria; Pseudomonadati; Pseudomonadota; Alphaproteobacteria; Hyphomicrobiales; Kaistiaceae.
GGAGAGGUGGCCGAGUGGUCGAAGGCGCUCGCCUGCUAAGCGAGUAUACGGCUUAAAACCGUAUCGUGGGUUCGAAUCCCAUCCUCUCCGCCA